UACGGAGGGUCCAAGCGUUAUCCGGAAUCACUGGGUUUAAAGGGUGCGUAGGCGGAUAGAUAAGUCCGAGGUGAAAUCUCUGAGCUCAACUCAGAAACUGCCUCUGAUACUGUUUAUCUUGAAUUCAUUUGAAGUAGGCGGAAUAGGUCAUGUAGCGGUGAAAUGCGUAGAUAUGACCUAGAACACCGAUUGCGAAGGCAGCUUACUAAGAUGACAUUGACGCUGAGGCACGAAAGCGUGGGUAGCGAACAGG
RNAcentral lists this ribosomal RNA (253 nucleotides) under uncultured bacterium. Its description in RNAcentral is "partial 16S ribosomal RNA". It matches the Rfam family "Bacterial small subunit ribosomal RNA", at positions 524 to 776 of the family's 1533-position model. The record is from RNAcentral.